AUGAACGCUGGCGGCGUGCCUAAUACAUGCAAGUCGAGCGAACGGACGAGAAGCUUGCUUCUCUGGUGUUAGCGGCGGACGGGUGAGUAACACGUGGAUAACCUACCUAUAAGACUGGGAUAACUUCGGGAAACCGGAGCUAAUACCGGAUAAUAUUUUGAACCGCAUGGUUCAAAAGUGAAAGACGGUCUUGCUGUCACUUAUAGAUGGAUCCGCGCUGCAUUAGCUAGUUGGUAAGGUAACGGCUUACCAAGGCAACGAUGCAUAGCCGACCUGAGAGGGUGAUCGGCCACACUGGAACUGAGACACGGUCCAGACUCCUACGGGAGGCAGCAGUAGGGAAUCUUCCGCAAUGGGCGAAAGCCUGACGGAGCAACGCCGCGUGAGUGAUGAAGGUCUUCGGAUCGUAAAACUCUGUUAUUAGGGAAGAACAUAUGUGUAAGUAACUGUGCACAUCUUGACGGUACCUAAUCAGAAAGCCACGGCUAACUACGUG
Molecule: ribosomal RNA, 496 nt
Filed under: uncultured bacterium
Lineage: Bacteria
Description: partial 16S ribosomal RNA
Rfam family: Bacterial small subunit ribosomal RNA
Source: RNAcentral